AGUGAACGCUGGCGGUAGGCCUAACACAUGCAAGUCGUACGGCAGCACAGUAAGAGCUUGCUCUUACGGGUGGCGAGUGGCGGACGGGUGAGGAAUACAUCGGAAUCUACUUUUUCGUGGGGGAUAACGUAGGGAAACUUACGCUAAUACCGCAUACGACCUACGGGUGAAAGCAGGGGAUCUUCGGACCUUGCGCGAUUGAAUGAGCCGAUGUCGGAUUAGCUAGUUGGCGGGGUAAAGGCCCACCAAGGCGACGAUCCGUAGCUGGUCUGAGAGGAUGAUCAGCCACACUGGAACUGAGACACGGUCCAGACUCCUACGGGAGGCAGCAGUGGGGAAUAUUGGACAAAGGGCGCAAGCCUGAUCCAGCCAUACCGCGUGGGUGAAGAAGGCCUUCGGGUUGUAAAGCCCUUUUGUUGGGAAAGAAAAGCAGCAGGUUAAUACCCCGCUGUUCUGACGGUACCCAAAGAAUAAGCACCGGCUAACUUCGUG
This 492-nucleotide ribosomal RNA is filed under the name uncultured bacterium. RNAcentral's name for it is "partial 16S ribosomal RNA". It matches the Rfam family "Bacterial small subunit ribosomal RNA", at positions 29 to 507 of the family's 1533-position model. The record is from RNAcentral.